AUUUCGCCGGAACAACCAGCCUUAAAUUCCUACUGAAUUAGGGCUUCCAGUGGAUCGCCUUCCCGUUCGUCCCCCGAACCCCUGAAGGACAGCUGUGAUCCCAAUCCCAGAUCACGUACGCCGAGAACAUACUCCAGGAUUGAAGUUGUAUGGUGUGUUAAGAGAUCAUAAUGAAUACCCAAAGGUGAGUUGUAUCAGCAUGAAUGCAAAGUCAUGCCGAGAAUAAGCUCAGUAGCUGCAAUGUCAUGUCAGUUGUUUGGGUGCAAUGCUUUCUAGUCUAAAAUUGUGUUGUCUAAGCAAAUCCUUGGACUUUCAUGAUGCACACAACACUUGCAAUGCAUUGUUUUGUAUUUCCAUUCGUAUUUCAUUGUGGAACGCACACUGUUUGUUUCAUCAUGAAUAUAUGGUCCGAAGACAUUUGAGCCAUAGGUCAUUCCUUCUAGUAUUUGGUCUUGACCUACUGUGGCACUACCCUUAUCUUAUUUGUGAUUGCCAAGCUGUAGCUGCCACUAGUGGUUUAUCCAUUGGUACCUAACUUUAAGCGCACAGUGAUCACAACUUUGUUCAGGCAGCGUUAUGUUUACCUCGUCGGAAAUCUAUUCAGCAAGAUAAUUCUUUCUAUGUUGCAGGUGUUGCAGGUGUUGAGCAUUUAAUUUCAAUUAAUUUAAAGAAUAUUAUGUACUUAAUGAUAGAGAGGCUUACAAAAUCUAGUGUUUUUUUUGUAGAUUUAAUAGUUUAUUUAUUCUAAUGAAGAUGUGAAUCUAUUAGCAAAAUCAAUGUUCGUUUAAAAAUUUGAAGCUACUGGAAUCAGUGAUUCUUUAAGUAGUUAUUAAUAUAUGAAAUCAGAUUAAAUAGGAAUAGAAGUUCUGUAGGUAAAAAAUAUGAGCCUUUGUCUUAGUACACAAGUAUUUUCAAUAGAUUUAUUUUAGUCCCACAAAAUACUAAAUUAAUAUAAAUUACAUGUAAGAACUAUUGCAUUGAUGCUUAUCAAAAUUCAUAGGCAUAUGAUGAAUCAAACCACAAGAAAUGCAUUGCUGUUUUUCCUUAUACUGUGUUUCUACGUUCAAGCUUCCUCUGGUAGGCAUAUCCUCUUGUUACCAGUUUCCUCUCUGGUUGUUUUGUUCUCCUUGGCUUCCACUGAGCACCUCUUGUAUGGUUUAAAUACUGAUUGGCUCGCCUUAAAGUUCCCGUGUUUGAAAUUAUUCGAAGAACUUGUGUCUGGAUUGUUGUCGUUCACUUUAGUUGGUACCCCUCCCUUCGCAAAGCAUUGCAGACAGCAGAGAUCAGUUUGCAGUCAAAACUAACACAAAGGGAACUUUCACUUGAAGUCGUGUGAAGAUAAAAUGAACAAUCUUCGCACAGAUUUCGCGUGGAGGUUUCCCUUAGUUUGUAGGUGUAAACGAUCAACUGGAAGUGUAGUUUCCUUAUCUUGCUCACCUUUGUUUGUGCAACUCCAGUAUGCAAUGCAGAGUCAUAUGGUCGUCUUUCAAGGGACGCUCCAAAUGUAGUAUGAUUCUGACAAAAAAAUAGGCAUGUCGAUUAGAGCAAAGUACAUGCUCAUAUGUGACUACUAGUUACAAAAACAGAAGAAACGCAUGAGAACCUGUUCAGAGAUUGGCAUCCAAGACUGGCCCAUCACUCCAUUGCUUCUGUCUCUAGCUUCGCCAAUGAAACGUUUGGUUUUGUUAUCUUCAUCUGUCUCAAGCUCGUCUGGUAUAGUGUUUUCACUAGCUACUAUGCACUGCAGUCUGUUAGCUUUGGCUUGGUUCAACUCAGAGAAUUCAGAGUUUUCACCCUUUGCACUUGCAUCAUUAGGAGAUGAUGAUACUGGCUUAGGAGAGGAUUGUGGUGGUUUUAGAAUCUCAGAUUGAUGUGCUACUGGAACUUGCAUCAUCUCCACAGCCAACGGUGGAAGGACUUGCAUUGUCUCUGCAGUUGGAGGGACUUCAGUUGCAGGAGGUGAUGGAAAGACAUGCGAAAGGUGGGGGGUACACCAUGGCAUGAUCCCCUGUGCUGCCCACCAGGCAGCUGCAGCUGCAAUGGUGGCAGUGACUAAAGAUGGUGUGCUUGGAGACGGCUUCAUGCCCCUCGCUGAAGGUUCUCCACCUUGUAUUUCUGGAUUCAAAUAAAGGUGGCCGUCCACCUCAACAGAUGGACAGUACGAUGCUGCCAGACUUGCUGCAGCAUGCACUGAUGGAAUUUGUUGCAAUGUAGAAAUGAUAAGAUUUGAAAAUGCUGAUGACAUGUUCAGAAAAGCAUCACAAGAUUCACGUUGGUUGUUGUAUUGGACGACUGGUGAGAACUGAUGCUGUAAGCCUAAGGCCAGAUUGUGCUGGAGUUGCAGCAGAGGAGAAUGUUUAAGGCCCAUUGAUGGACUAACAGCUGCUGCAGGUCCUGGCUGAUCACUGCUUGUGAGGGUUUGCUCAUUCUUCUCUUUACUUCUGUUAAUGCCGACAGAGUGUGCCUGUUUGAUCGAUGAAACAUGAUAAUUUGAUAUGCUACCUUCAACGUCUA
Molecule: long non-coding RNA, 2514 nt
Organism: Zingiber officinale
Lineage: Eukaryota; Viridiplantae; Streptophyta; Magnoliopsida; Zingiberales; Zingiberaceae
Exons: 2
Source: RefSeq, a predicted model, not a curated record